GGCAGACUGACGAAUGAGUUUGGGAUCAGACUGAAGCUGUGACUGUUUGGGAGAUGAUGUCACGGUGCCCUGCAGAAGGUGGCAGUUUAUCACAGACCUGUCGUUUGGCUACACGGUGAAGCUUUUUUAAAAAGUUUGUAAUUCACUUCAAAGCUUCAAGCUGGAGGUUUAAGAGCCGGCUCAGGUAAAACACGAUAUUCUCACCAUCAGAGUGUUUGGACCGAGCUGAGUGACCAAAGUUUUCCAGCUCUAAUCUAAGCAUAAACCAGCACUCAGGAUUACUUUACCAAACACACAAUAACAGAUUUAGAGAUCUCACUGUAUGUUUUCAUCAGUCUGAAGGAGAUGUUGAAGCUGUAAUCCAAGAUGCUGCCGGACAUCAGAAGAAGAAGACGAGUCGUCACAGUGAGUCGGUGCUUGAAUUCCCUGCUGAGGAGCACGGGUGGAAAUAGAAGCACAGGCGGGUGGAUGGUCUGUGUGAAGGUUGAUUAGAGGCUCUUCAGAUGUGGAUGAAUGAAUGAUAGACUUUGGAAAAAUCACACAAUAAGAGAUUUUGGCAGCUAAAGAGCUUUGCUCCUACUUUAGUCUACGAAGGCUCCACGCCCUUGGAUAUUAAGCAACCAAUCAGGUGACUUCAAGUGCAUUCGCCUCAUAGCUCCUCAUAGCCUUCAUCACGUUACUGUUACCAAGGGGUUCUCUUUACAUGAGUUGAUUAUUACAGAGUGUCAGCCUUAUGCUGGCUGGAGCAGCUCUACUGGCAGCUCCUAACAUCAGCUCGCGGGUUCAGGCUUGGUUGUGUUUAGGUGUGGCUGCUGUGUGUGUGGCUUCACUCAACUCGACCUGCCAGCAGUGUUUGUGACUUUUGGAGCAUUUCUUUGUUCUUUGGUCCUUUUACCCAAUACAAGAGGGGCUCAAAGGCACUAGAGAUGCCCACCGUUUGGUUAGCAUGAAUAAAUCAAGGAUGCUAUUUCUUCAUGAUUUCACCAAUAACAAUAACACAGUUUGAUCUCAGUCCAGCACUUAUCACUAACACUAGCACGCUGUUAUAAACAGGCAUCAACUGACAGAAGUUCUUCAUUUGGAGUCCUCUUAUUGAUACUAAUGUUAGUGAUUAUUAUAUUUAAGGACUCAUUAUCAUUCUCCUGCUGUCAAAUGCAAAAACUAGCUGGGAAUGAAAGUCAUGGAACAAGCCAAUCAUAAUAGCUGCAGAGUGCACUGACAUGGUCACAGAUCCAGGAGGGUUACAAAGUUGGUCACAGAGGAGCCUAAAAUAGAAACAUACUGGAAGAAAAAAGGAGAUUUUAUUGCAGAUUUAUAACCUGAUCAAAAGAAAGUGUUUUGGUUUGGACGGACAUGUGUUUGUAAAACUAUCCACACACUGAAUGAAAUGUUUCUUUUACCUCAGUAUGUGGGAGAAGAGUCUAAUUAUGUCACUUUACUGUCACUCCAUAUAUUGCAGACAU
Molecule: long non-coding RNA, 1463 nt
Organism: Oreochromis aureus
Lineage: Eukaryota; Metazoa; Chordata; Actinopteri; Cichliformes; Cichlidae
Source: Ensembl